RNAcentral lists this ribosomal RNA (253 nucleotides) under uncultured bacterium. Its description in RNAcentral is "partial 16S ribosomal RNA". It matches the Rfam family "Bacterial small subunit ribosomal RNA", at positions 524 to 776 of the family's 1533-position model. The record is from RNAcentral.
UACGGAGGAUCCAAGCGUUAUCCGGAUUCAUUGGGUUUAAAGGGUGUGUAGGCGGGCUAUUAAGUCAGUGGUGAAAUCUCCGAGCUUAACUUGGAAACUGCCAUUGAUACUAUUAGUCUUGAAUUUUGUUGAGGUAGGCGGAAUAAGUCAUGUAGCGGUGAAAUGCUUAGAUAUGACGUAGAACACCAAUUGCGAAGGCAGCUUGCUAAACAAACAUUGACGCUGAGGCACGAAAGCGUGGGGAGCAAACAGG